Molecule: ribosomal RNA, 497 nt
Filed under: uncultured bacterium
Lineage: Bacteria
Description: partial 16S ribosomal RNA
Rfam family: Bacterial small subunit ribosomal RNA
Source: RNAcentral
GAUGAACGCUGGCGGCGUGCCCAAUACAUGCAAGUCGAGCGAACGGACGAGAAGCUUGCUUCUCUGAUGUUAGCGGCGGACGGGUGAGUAACACGUGGAUAACCUACCUAUAAGACUGGGAUAACUUCGGGAAACCGUAGCUAAUACCGGAUAAUAUUUUGAACCGCAUGGUUCAAAAGUGAAAGACGGCCUUGCUGUCACUUAUAGAUGGAUCCGCGCUGCAUUAGCUAGUUGGUAAGGUAACGGCUUACCAAGGCAACGAUGCAUAGCCGACCUGAGAGGGUGAUCGGCCACACUGGAACUGAGACACGGUCCAGACUCCUACGGGAGGCAGCAGUAGGGAAUCUUCCGCAAUGGGCGAAAGCCUGACGGAGCAACGCCGCGUGAGUGAUGAAGGUCUUCGGAUCGUAAAACUCUGUUAUUAGGGAAGAACAUAUGUGUAAGUAACUGUGCACAUCUUGACGGUACCUAAUCAGAAAGCCACGGCUAACUACGUG